This 116-nucleotide ribosomal RNA is filed under the name Pteropus alecto (black flying fox). The record is from RNAcentral. Lineage: Eukaryota; Metazoa; Chordata; Mammalia; Chiroptera; Pteropodidae.
GUCUAUGGCCAUGCCACCCUAAAGAAGCCCGAUGUCUGAUCUCGGAAGCUAGGCGGGGUUGAGCCUGGUUAGUACUUGGCUGGGAGACCACCUAGGAAGACCAGCUGCUGUAGGCA